RNAcentral lists this ribosomal RNA (806 nucleotides) under uncultured Acidobacteriota bacterium. Its description in RNAcentral is "bacterial SSU rRNA". It matches the Rfam family "Bacterial small subunit ribosomal RNA", at positions 32 to 775 of the family's 1533-position model. The record is from RNAcentral. Lineage: Bacteria; Pseudomonadati; Acidobacteriota.
AACGCUGGCGGCGCGCCUAACACAUGCAAGUCGAGCGAGAAAGGGUUCAGCAAUGGCCUGAGUAAAGCGGCGAACGGGUGAGUAACACGUGGGCAACCUGCCCUUCAGUGGGGGAUAACCCGGGGAAACCUGGGCUAAUACCGCAUAACAUUCCGGGGACUUCGGUUCCCGGGAUCAAAGGAGCAAUCCGCUGGAGGAGGGGCCCGCGGCCGAUUAGCUAGUUGGUAGGGUAACGGCCUACCAAGGCCAUGAUCGGUAGCCGGCCUAAGAGGGCGCACGGCCACACUGGGACUGAAACACGGCCCAGACUCCUACGGGAGGCAGCAGUGGGGAAUCUUGCACAAUGGGGGAAACCCUGAUGCAGCGACGCCGCGUGGGUGAUGAAGCUCUUCGGAGUGUAAAGCCCUUUCGGUGGGGAAGAACGCUGCCCGGCGCAGGGCGCCGGCACAGAACCAGAGCGUCGCUCUGGUUUUGUCGGCCGGCGUCGCGCGCCGGGCAGUAGACGGUACCCGCAAAAGAAGCCCCGGCUAACUACGUGCCAGCAGCCGCGGUAAUACGUAGGGGGCCAGCGUUGUUCGGAAUCAUUGGGCGUAAAGGGCGCGUAGGCGGUGCGGUGUGUUCGGUGUGAAAUCUCCCGGCUCAACUGGGAGGGGUCGCCGAAAACUACCGCGCUCGAGUACGGGAGAGGGGAGUGGAAUUCCCGGUGUAGCGGUGAAAUGCGUAGAGAUCGGGAGGAACACCGGCGGCGAAGGCGGCUCCCUGGACCGUUACUGACGCUGAGGCGCGAAAGCUAGGGGAGCAAACAG